RNAcentral lists this unclassified non-coding RNA (922 nucleotides) under Hevea brasiliensis (rubber tree). Lineage: Eukaryota; Viridiplantae; Streptophyta; Magnoliopsida; Malpighiales; Euphorbiaceae. The record is from RNAcentral.
AUAUAUAUAUAUCUAUAUAUAUAUAUUGGAAUUUUAAAUGAGCUACAUAAUAGGGGGUUAGCUCUCUCUCAACCUCAUGAGAUGCAUUAAAAUUUUCUGGAAACAUGCAUCCAAAGAACUAGCCAUGAACAUGGGAUUCAUUUGGCACUUUUAGAGCACAAAAAUUUUUCACAAUGUGAUGUGUUUUAGUCAUGCUUGUGUCUGAAAACAGGCAUUUCAUGCCUUAUGGUUUGUGGGAUGAUUUGCUUAUUGAAAUUAGUAGACAAAGACGGCAAGUAUCUUAAGCAGUUAUCUCAAGGUGUUGAGGGAAGGUAGAGUUUGGGGCCAAGGGACAGUGGACAUUCAACAGUAUUUCGAAUGUGUUGCCAUCGAAGCAAGGUUGUCUGUCUGUUCUCUUGAUUUAAUACAUGUGAAGAAAAAUACCCAUGCUGAAAUUGUUUGAUUAUCAUAGUCAGAAGAUGAGAUUGAAAUCAGCCAAAAUUACUUUAGGUGUUAAUCAUAUUUCAGCCGUUCAUGAGAUGCCUCACCUACCUUAAUGUUCCCUAUUUUAACACAAGCCAUGAUCCUAAUUCUGUUUAAAGUAUUUGUUUAUGUGAGCCUUGCUUCAAUUUGCUCCAUUUUUCUUUCAAGUUUUACUGGAAUUAAAAUGCCUUUGGUAUAUUUUAGUUUCUCAAUACGUGUUCUGGUGAUUUCUGACAUUUCUAUUUGUCAUUGAUUUAUGAUUGUUGUGCAACAGAUGGUCAAAAUUAUGAUCUCUUUGAAGUACUUAAUAAAAAGCUAUUGUAUUAGUUCGUAUCAAGGACCAUAUCAGUGACUUUUUCUUUAUGAUGUCUCUAAUUUAUAAUUUGUCUAUCAUUUAAUAACUAACUUUGGUCUGCAUGGCCUCUACGUAUCUUUCAGAGUGGAAAAGCUUGUUUGGGUG